UGGCGAACGGGUGAGUAACACGUGGGUGAUCUGCCCUGCACUCUGGGAUAAGCCUGGGAAACUGGGUCUAAUACCGGAUAGGACCGUGCUUUAGUGUGUGUGGUGGAAAGUUGUUUCGGUGUAGGAUGAGCCCGCGGCCUAUCAGCUUGUUGGUGGGGUAAUGGCCUACCAAGGCGGCGACGGGUAGCCGGACUGAGAGGUUGGUCGGCCACAUUGGGACUGAGAUACGGCCCAG
Molecule: ribosomal RNA, 235 nt
Filed under: uncultured Actinomycetales bacterium
Lineage: Bacteria; Bacillati; Actinomycetota; Actinomycetes; Actinomycetales
Description: partial 16S ribosomal RNA
Rfam family: Bacterial small subunit ribosomal RNA
Source: RNAcentral